AGCCGUACUACCAUGGAAGUCUUUCGCAGAGAGAUAUGGUAGAUGGGCUAGAAGAGCAUGACAUAUACUGUGUGUCGAUAUUUUCUCCUCGGACCUUGAAAAUUUAUGGUGGGGACACGCAAACUUCUCAACAGGCCGUACCAAUAUCCGCAGCUGGUCUCCAAGGUGAAGAGUCUCUAGUCGAUAGAAUAAUGUAGGUAAGGGAAGUCGGCAAAUUAGAUCCGUAACUUCGGGAUAAGGAUUGGCUCUGAAGAUUGAGAUAGUCGGGCUUGAUUGGGAAACAAUAACAUGGUUUAUGUGCUCGUUCUGGGUAAAUAGAGUUUCUAGCAUUUAUGUUAGUUACUUGUUCCCCGGAUAGUUUAGUUACGUAGCCAAUUGUGGAACUUUCUUGCUAAAAUUUUUAAGAAUACUAUUUGGGUUAAACCAAUUAGUUCUUAUCAAUUAUAACGAUUAUCAAUUAACAAUCAAUUCAGAACUGGCACGGACUUGGGGAAUCCGACUGUCUAAUUAAAACAAAGCAUUGUGAUGGCCCUAGCGGGUGUUGACACAAUGUGAUUUCUGCCCAGUGCUCUGAAUGUCAAAGUGAAGAAAUUCAAGUAAGCGCGGGUCAACGGCGGGAGUAACUAUGACUCUCUUAAGGUAGCCAAAUGCCUCGUCAUCUAAUUAGUGACGCGCAUGAAUGGAUUAACGAGAUUCCUACUGUCCCUAUCUACUAUCUAGCGAAACCACAGCCAAGGGAACGGGCUUGGAAUAAUUAGCGGGGAAAGAAGACCCUUUUGAGCUUGACUCUAAUCUGGCAGUGUAAGGAGACAUAAGAGGUGUAGAAUAAGUGGGAGAUAUUAGACCUCGGUUUGGUAUCGUCAAUGAAAUACCACUACUCUUAUUGUUCCUUACUUACUUGAUUAAAUGGAACGUGUAUCAUUUCCUAGCCAUUAUACGGAUAUAUUUAUUAUAUCUUAUGGUAUUGGGUUUUGAUGCAAGCUUCUUGAUCAAAGUAUCACGAGUUUGUUAUAUAAUCGCAAACAAAUUCUUUAAUAAAACGAUGCAUUUAUGUAUUUUUGAUUUGAAAAUUUGGUAUAACUCCAAUU
RNAcentral lists this non-coding RNA (1088 nucleotides) under Drosophila sechellia. Its description in RNAcentral is "Eukaryotic large subunit ribosomal RNA". It matches the Rfam family "Eukaryotic large subunit ribosomal RNA", at positions 1708 to 2596 of the family's 3401-position model. Lineage: Eukaryota; Metazoa; Arthropoda; Insecta; Diptera; Drosophilidae. The record is from Rfam by way of RNAcentral.